Long non-coding RNA from Rhopalosiphum padi (bird cherry-oat aphid), 422 nucleotides. RefSeq lists it as uncharacterized. Lineage: Eukaryota; Metazoa; Arthropoda; Insecta; Hemiptera; Aphididae. The transcript has 2 exons. The record is from RefSeq and is a predicted model, not a curated record.
UCUGUGCUAUUACUUUUUCCUUCCUGUUCCACGUUUCGUUUAUACGUAAAUAACCUCAAAUUAUUGUUAAUCAUGUUGGAUACACUGUGUCUGUGAGAAAUUUCUCUGGCUUGUUCGACGGGCCACGGCGUCAUCUUUUAUUCUGUCACAAACAAAUUUGUUCCUGAAUCGAGCUGAACUCUCUGUUCCGCUCCGAAUUUUCUCACCUUUGAUUUGUCGUUAGCCCGAUUAUGAGGGCUAAAUGGCGUAAGAAGCGUAUGCGUAGGUUGAAGCGCAAGAGGAGGAAGAUGCGUGCAAGGUCCAAGUAAACCUCGUGGCCCGCACCGGACAUACUAUCAUGUUUUGGUAAACAUUAAGCGAUUAUGAAACUUUUAUAUUGAUUCAUCUAAACAGUAAUAAACUCUUUCUGUUCAACAUAUAAA